RNAcentral lists this unclassified non-coding RNA (750 nucleotides) under uncultured Synechococcus sp. RNAcentral describes it as "partial contains 16S ribosomal RNA and 16S-23S ribosomal RNA intergenic spacer". The stretch from base 1 to 264 matches the Rfam family "Bacterial small subunit ribosomal RNA", at positions 1271 to 1533 of the family's 1533-position model. Lineage: Bacteria; Bacillati; Cyanobacteriota; Cyanophyceae; Synechococcales; Synechococcaceae. The record is from RNAcentral.
AUCCCAUAAACCGUGGCUCAGUUCAGAUCGUAGGCUGCAACUCGCCUACGUGAAGGCGGAAUCGCUAGUAAUCGCAGGUCAGCAUACUGCGGUGAAUACGUUCCCGGGCCUUGUACACACCGCCCGUCACACCAUGGAAGUUGGCCACGCCCGAAGCCGUUACUCCAACCCUUGUGGAGGAGGACGUCGAAGGUGGGGCUGAUGACUGGGGUGAAGUCGUAACAAGGUAUCCGUACCGGAAGGUGCGGAUGGAUCACCUCCUAACAGGGAGACAACACAAUGAUUUUGAUGCCUGAGUGCUUUUAUUCUUAGGCCGAAAUCCUGUCACCUUAGGUCGAUCGGUACCUCAGCUUUGAAGUCAAGGAUCAGCAGCAAUGUUGAUUGCUUGAUGGAGAUUUUCAGUUCCUAAACUUUGUCUAGGUCACACCCCAAAAGGGAUGAGACUCCUGGGCCAUUAGCUCAGGUGGUUAGAGCGCACCCCUGAUAAGGGUGAGGUCCCUGGUUCAAGUCCAGGAUGGCCCAUUCGGUGUUGGGGGUUUAGCUCAGUUGGUAGAGCGCCUGCUUUGCAAGCAGGAUGUCAGGAGUUCGAGUCUCCUAACCUCCACUGACCGAACUUGAUUCCCAUCUCCAAUUUUUUGGAGUUGAGCUCGAUUGGAGUGUGAUUUAGAUGUGUCCGCUGGAUGACCCCAGCUUCCUGUCAUUCUAAGUUUUAGGUUGAUGCCUUGAAUUUAGUUGAUAAGAUGCUGGGCU